RNAcentral lists this ribosomal RNA (450 nucleotides) under uncultured bacterium. RNAcentral describes it as "partial 16S ribosomal RNA". It matches the Rfam family "Bacterial small subunit ribosomal RNA", at positions 338 to 795 of the family's 1533-position model. The record is from RNAcentral.
CCUACGGGUGGCUGCAGUGGGGAAUCUUGCGCAAUGGGCGAAAGCCUGACGCAGCGACGCCGCGUGAGCGAUGAAGGCCUUCGGGUUGUAAAGCUCUGUGGGGAGAGAAGAAUAAGGGUUGGCUAACAUCCAACCUGAUGACGGUAUCUCCUUAGCAAGCACCGGCUAACUCUGUGCCAGCAGCCGCGGUAAGACAGCGGGUGCAAACGUUGUUCGGAAGCACUGGGCGGAGGGCUGGCGUGGCCGACGUGAAAUCCCACGGCUCAACCAUGGAAGUGCAUUCGAAACUGCCAGACUAGAGUCCUGGAGAGGAAGGCGGAAUACUCGGUGUAGAGGUGAAAUUCGUAGAUAUCGAGUGGAACACCGGUGGCGAAGGCGGCCUUCUGGACAGUGACUGACGCUGAAACGCGAAAGCGUGGGGAGCAAACAGGAUUAGAUACCCGAGUAGUC